GCAACAAGUGUAGAGUGGUACCAUUCCGACUCCCUGCUCCAACCCAAAUUAAGAACCGGUUUAACAAGCUGUUUUGAGAGUAAAAUAGAGGCAAUAGAACACCCAGGCCCACCUUAUCUUUAUAAAAACAAUACAAUCAUCAUAAUAAAAAAAACAGCCUCCAUUCUUGCAUGGGAGACUUGAGUCAAGUCUGAAUCAAAGGCAAGUGCAAGCAAAUAUUUAAUUAACAAAACUCUGCUAGUUUUAUUGUAUAAUUCAUAAGCAACACUUGGGUAGGGGAAAGUAUAUAACACUCUCUUCCAUGCAGGAAUGGUUGAAUGCCUUGGAUGUUAUCUUCCUUCUUAUUCUCACGAUUGAAGCUUUGGCGGCUGACUUUCGAAUCCGUUUUCAUGUUGCUGUUUGGCUUGUCCCCUCGCGGCUCAUGUUUUCCUCUUCACCAUGAUUGAGAUGAGCUU
Molecule: long non-coding RNA, 455 nt
Filed under: Gossypium raimondii (Peruvian cotton)
Lineage: Eukaryota; Viridiplantae; Streptophyta; Magnoliopsida; Malvales; Malvaceae
Description: long non-coding RNA (GRAI_LNC007023)
Source: RNAcentral